CUCUCUCCUGCCAGAUCUAAACUCAGCUGCUGGACAAGGUUAUUGUCAAGGUGGUUUCAGUGCUGAAUUCACAAAGGCAGGACGGGUUCUUCUUGGUGGCCCUGGAAGCUACUUCUGGCAAGGCCAAGUGUUCUCAGCAACUCAAGAGGCCAUUGAAGAAUCCUAUGACCCGGACUAUUUUAUCGUUGUGGUUAGAGAAGAGCUCAAGACACAUCAGGCUCAUAUCAAAGCGGAUGACAGUUACCUAGGUGAGUUC
Thamnophis sirtalis is the source of this 256-nucleotide non-coding RNA. The record is from RefSeq and is a predicted model, not a curated record. Lineage: Eukaryota; Metazoa; Chordata; Lepidosauria; Squamata; Natricidae.